This 490-nucleotide ribosomal RNA is filed under the name uncultured bacterium. RNAcentral's name for it is "partial 16S ribosomal RNA". It matches the Rfam family "Bacterial small subunit ribosomal RNA", at positions 28 to 507 of the family's 1533-position model. The record is from RNAcentral.
GAUGAACGCUAGCUACAGGCUUAACACAUGCAAGUCGAGGGGCAGCAUGGUCUUAGCUUGCUAAGGCCGAUGGCGACCGGCGCACGGGUGAGUAACACGUAUCCAACCUGCCGUCUACUCUUGGACAGCCUUCUGAAAGGAAGAUUAAUACAAGAUGGCAUCAUGAGUCCGCAUGUUCACAUGAUUAAAGGUAUUCCGGUAGACGAUGGGGAUGCGUUCCAUUAGAUAGUAGGCGGGGUAACGGCCGACCUAGUCGUCGAUGGAUAGGGGUUCUGAGAGGAAGGGCCCCCACAUGGGAACUGAGACACGGUCCAAACUCCUACGGGAGGCAGCAGUGAGGAAUAUUGGUCAAUGGGCGAGAGCCUGAACCAGCCAAGUAGCGUGAAGGAUGACUGCCCUAUGGGUUGUAAACUUCUUUUAGAAAGGAAUAAAGUCGGGUAUGGAUACCCGUUUGCAUGUACUUUAUGAAUAAGGAUCGGCUAACUCCGUG